Molecule: ribosomal RNA, 253 nt
Filed under: uncultured bacterium
Lineage: Bacteria
Description: partial 16S ribosomal RNA
Rfam family: Bacterial small subunit ribosomal RNA
Source: RNAcentral
UACAGAGGGGGCAAGCGUUGUUCGGAAUUACUGGGCGUAAAGGGCGCGUAGGCGGCCCGCUAAGUCGAACGUGAAAUCCCCGAGCUCAACUCGGGAACUGCGUCCGAUACUGGUGGGCUUGAAUCCGGGAGAGGGAUGCGGAAUUCCAGGUGUAGCGGUGAAAUGCGUAGAUAUCUGGAGGAACACCGGUGGCGAAGGCAGCCUCCUGGGCCAACACUGACGCUCAUGCACGAAAGCGUGGGGAGCAAACAGG